GCCAGGUGUGGUGGCGCACACCUGUAAUCCCAGCUACUUGGGAGGCUGAGGCAGGAGAAUCGCUUGAGCCCAGGAGGUGGAGCUUGCAGUGAGCUGAGAUCAUACCACUGCACUCCAGCCUGGGCGACAGAGCGAGACUGUUUCAA
RNAcentral lists this non-coding RNA (146 nucleotides) under Nomascus leucogenys (northern white-cheeked gibbon). Lineage: Eukaryota; Metazoa; Chordata; Mammalia; Primates; Hylobatidae. The record is from Rfam by way of RNAcentral.